AUGUUGUCUGCUACUAGUAGUGUAGUACUACUUCAGUCGUCAAAUGGUUUUCAGAGUCUUCAUUUUCGUAUUACACAUGCAGUCAUGGUUGCUGUGGCCCAAGUCAAGCUGAAGAGAGUAGAAACACGUACAGUUCUGUUGGUAGUUGUGUCCCAAGAAGCCAUGGAGUGGAUUCUGUACUUCAGGUUCGCUGGCUCAGAACUUGGAAGCGAACAAGUGCCAUGGCGAACUGCUUUGAGCUUGAUGAAGUGCAUAUGA
This 258-nucleotide ribosomal RNA is filed under the name Triticum aestivum (bread wheat). Its description in RNAcentral is "partial small subunit ribosomal RNA". Lineage: Eukaryota; Viridiplantae; Streptophyta; Magnoliopsida; Poales; Poaceae. The record is from RNAcentral.